RNAcentral lists this ribosomal RNA (810 nucleotides) under bacterium RSD-1-6. RNAcentral's name for it is "bacterial SSU rRNA". It matches the Rfam family "Bacterial small subunit ribosomal RNA", at positions 37 to 850 of the family's 1533-position model. The record is from RNAcentral.
UAGCGGGAGGCCUAACACAUGCAAGCCGAGCGGUAGAAGUCCUUCGGGACUUUGAGAGCGGCGCACGGGUGCGGAACACGUGUGCAACCUACCUUUAUCAGGGGGAUAGCCUUUCGAAAGGAAGAUUAAUACCCCAUAAUAUAAUUGAUGGCAUCAUUAAUUAUUGAAAACUCCGGUGGAUAGAGAUGGGCACGCGCAAGAUUAGAUAGUUGGUGAGGUAACGGCUCACCAAGUCAAUGAUCUUUAGGGGGCCUGAGAGGGUGAUCCCCCACACUGGUACUGAGACACGGACCAGACUCCUACGGGAGGCAGCAGUGAGGAAUAUUGGACAAUGGGUGAGAGCCUGAUCCAGCCAUCCCGCGUGAAGGACGACGGCCCUAUGGGUUGUAAACUUCUUUUGUAUAGGGAUAAACCUUUCCACGUGUGGAAAGCUGAAGGUACUAUACGAAUAAGCACCGGCUAACUCCGUGCCAGCAGCCGCGGUAAUACGGAGGGUGCAAGCGUUAUCCGGAUUUAUUGGGUUUAAAGGGUCCGUAGGCGGACUCGUAAGUCAGUGGUGAAAUCUCAUAGCUUAACUAUGAAACUGCCAUUGAUACUGCGGGUCUUGAGUAAAGUAGAAGUGGCUGGAAUAAGUAGUGUAGCGGUGAAAUGCAUAGAUAUUACUUAGAACACCAAUUGCGAAGGCAGGUCACUAUGUUUUAACUGACGCUGAUGGACGAAAGCGUGGGGAGCGAACAGGAUUAGAUACCCUGGUAGUCCACGCCGUAAACGAUGCUAACUCGUUUUUGGGUUUUCGGAUUCAGAGACUAA